AACGAACGCUGGCGGCGUGCCUAAGACAUGCAAGUCGUACGGAAAGGCCCUCUUCGGAGGGCGCUCGAGUGGCGCACGGGUGAGUAACGCGUGGGCAAUCUACCUUUGGGUCUGGGACAACCCCGGGAAACUGGGGCUAAUACUGGAUAAGACCACGAGCUCCUCGGAGCUUGCGGGAAAAGAUGGCCUCUCCUUGGAAGCUAUCGCCCUUCGAUGAGCCCGCGUCCCAUUAGCUAGUUGGUGAGGUGACGGCUCACCAAGGCUUUGAUGGGUAGCUGGUCUGAGAGGAUGAUCAGCCACACUGGAACUGAGACACGGUCCAGACUCCUACGGGAGGCAG
RNAcentral lists this ribosomal RNA (340 nucleotides) under uncultured Pseudomonadota bacterium. Its description in RNAcentral is "bacterial SSU rRNA". It matches the Rfam family "Bacterial small subunit ribosomal RNA", at positions 29 to 351 of the family's 1533-position model. The record is from RNAcentral. Lineage: Bacteria; Pseudomonadati; Pseudomonadota.